This 272-nucleotide small nuclear RNA is filed under the name Oryctolagus cuniculus (rabbit). RNAcentral's name for it is "7SK RNA". It matches the Rfam family "7SK RNA". Rfam says of the family: 7SK was discovered as an abundant small nuclear RNA in the mid-70s but a possible function has only recently been suggested. Two independent studies have found that 7SK RNA binds the CDK9/cyclin T complex (known as elongation factor P-TEFb). The record is from Rfam by way of RNAcentral. Lineage: Eukaryota; Metazoa; Chordata; Mammalia; Lagomorpha; Leporidae.
GGACGUGAGGGUGAUCUGGCUGUGACAUCUGUCACCCCAUGGAUCGCCAGGGUGGAUCUGGCUGAUCUGGCCGGGCGGGUGUCCCCUUCCUCCCUCACUGCUCCUUGUGUGUCGCUCCCAAGAGGACGACCUUCCCCGCUAGAGGAGGACCGAUCAAGGGUACACAGUAGCUGCGCUCCCUGCUAGAACCUCAAACAAGCUCUCAAGAAUUAAGAAAAGAGUAUCUGAAAGAGGAGGAAGUAAAUAAUAAAGCUGUAUGUGGAAAUCAAUUA